CCUACGGGUGGCAGCAGUGGGGGAUAUUGCACAAUGGGGGAAACCCUGAUGCAGCGACGCCGCGUGUGGGAAGACGGUCCUCUGGAUUGUAAACCACUGUCCCCAGGGAGGAAAUUGACGGUACCUGGGGAGGAAGCUCCGGCAAACUACGGGCCAGCAGCCGCGGUAAUACGUAGGGAGGAAGCGUUGUCCGGAAUUACUGGGUGUAAAGUUGGCGUAGGCGGGGUGUAAAGUUGGGUGUUAAAUCUACGGGCUCAACUGGUGGUCGCACUCGAAACUGCUAUUCUAGAGUGAAGUAGAGGCAAGCGGAAUUCCUGGUGUAGCAGUGAAAUGCGUAGAUAUUGGGAGGAACACCAGUGGCGAAGGCGGCCUGCUGGACUGCAACUGACGCUGAGGCACGAAAGUGUGGGGAGCAAACAGGAUUAGAUACCCGAGUAGUC
Molecule: ribosomal RNA, 440 nt
Filed under: uncultured bacterium
Lineage: Bacteria
Description: partial 16S ribosomal RNA
Rfam family: Bacterial small subunit ribosomal RNA
Source: RNAcentral